AAAUUGAAGAGUUUGAUCAUGGCUCAGAUUGAACGCUGGCGGCAGGCCUAACACAUGCAAGUCGGACGGUAGCACAGAGAGCUUGCUCUUGGGUGACGAGUGGCGGACGGGUGAGUAAUGUCUGGGGAUCUGCCCGAUAGAGGGGGAUAACCACUGGAAACGGUGGCUAAUACCGCAUAACGUCGCAAGACCAAAGAGGGGGACCUUCGGGCCUCUCACUAUCGGAUGAACCCAGAUGGGAUUAGCUAGUAGGCGGGGUAAUGGCCCACCUAGGCGACGAUCCCUAGCUGGUCUGAGAGGAUGACCAGCCACACUGGAACUGAGACACGGUCCAGACUCCUACGGGAGGCAGCAGUGGGGAAUAUUGCACAAUGGGCGCAAGCCUGAUGCAGCCAUGCCGCGUGUAUGAAGAAGGCCUUCGGGUUGUAAAGUACUUUCAGCGGGGAGG
RNAcentral lists this ribosomal RNA (448 nucleotides) under Pantoea sp. ARC270. RNAcentral describes it as "bacterial SSU rRNA". It matches the Rfam family "Bacterial small subunit ribosomal RNA", at positions 1 to 447 of the family's 1533-position model. Lineage: Bacteria; Pseudomonadati; Pseudomonadota; Gammaproteobacteria; Enterobacterales; Erwiniaceae. The record is from RNAcentral.